CUUGCUGCUUGGUGUUGGAUUUCCGCACUCCCAAUCAUGUGGAUCUGAGGCCUGCCUUAGGAACUUGUUGCUGGGUCUGGAUUGACCCUACAGGCCCUUCUUUUCUCUGAAAUGUGGGUUGGGGGAAUCCAGCAAUUGCAGGCUUUACUGGGUGGGUUCUCAUGUGCCUCUGGUUGGAAGGGGGAUGCGGGUCAUGGGGCAGUUGGGACACCAUGCAGGAGUGGCAUUCUUCCUUACUCUCCAGUGAACGGUGACACGAUAUCCCAUUAUACAAUGCUGUCAACUUUGAAAUAGCUAUUCGCAUAUAUGUUGUUGUAGAAAACUGUUCAUUGCAGUUGUACACAUUUUUUUUUAUGGUUUUUUUUCAGCAGGUCUAU
Molecule: non-coding RNA, 377 nt
Organism: Pelobates cultripes (western spadefoot toad)
Lineage: Eukaryota; Metazoa; Chordata; Amphibia; Anura; Pelobatidae
Source: the annotation of a GenBank genome assembly